RNAcentral lists this ribosomal RNA (435 nucleotides) under uncultured bacterium. RNAcentral's name for it is "partial 16S ribosomal RNA". It matches the Rfam family "Bacterial small subunit ribosomal RNA", at positions 29 to 507 of the family's 1533-position model. The record is from RNAcentral.
AGCGAACGCUGGCGGCAGGCUUAACACAUGCAAGUCGAACGGGCUUCUUCGGAAGUCAGUGGCAGACGGGUGAGUAACACGUGGGAACGUGCCCUUCGGUUCGGAAUAACUCAGGGAAACUUGAGCUAAUACCGGAUACGCCCUUCUGGGGAAAGGUUUACUGCCGAAGGAUCGGCCCGCGUCUGAUUAGCUUGUUGGUGGGGUAACGGCCUACCAAGGCGACGAUCAGUAGCUGGUCUGAGAGGAUGAUCAGCCACACUGGGACUGAGACACGGCCCAGACUCCUACGGGGGGCAGCAGUGGGGAAUAUUGGACAAUGGGCGCAAGCCUGAUCCAGCCAUGCCGCGUGAGUGAUGAAGGCCUUAGGGUUGUAAAGCUCUUUUGUCCGGGACGAUAAUGACGGUACCGGAAGAAUAAGCCCCGGCUAACUUCGUG